AGUUUGAUCCUGGCUCAGGAUGAACGCUGGCGGCGUGCCUAACACAUGCAAGUCGAGCGAUUCUCUUCGGAGAAGAGCGGCGGACGGGUGAGUAACGCGUGGGUAACCUGCCCUGUACACACGGAUAACAUACCGAAAGGUAUGCUAAUACGAGAUAAUAUGCUUUUAUCGCAUGGUAGAAGUAUCAAAGCUUUUGCGGUACAGGAUGGACCCGCGUCUGAUUAGCUAGUUGGUAAGGUAACGGCUUACCAAGGCGACGAUCAGUAGCCGACCUGAGAGGGUGAUCGGCCACAUUGGAACUGAGACACGGUCCAAACUCCUACGGGAGGCAGCAGUGGGGAAUAUUGCACAAUGGGCGAAAGCCUGAUGCAGCAACGCCGCGUGAGCGAUGAAGGCCUUCGGGUCGUAAAGCUCUGUCCUCAAGGAAGAUAAUGACGGUACUUGAGGAGGAAGCCCCGGCUAACUACGUGCCAGCAGCCGCGGUAAUACGUAGGGGGCUAGCGUUAUCCGGAAUUACUGGGCGUAAAGGGUGCGUAGGUGGUUUCUUAAGUCAGAGGUGAAAGGCUACGGCUCAACCGUAGUAAGCCUUUGAAACUGGGAAACUUGAGUGCAGGAGAGGAGAGUGGAAUUCCUAGUGUAGCGGUGAAAUGCGUAGAUAUUAGGAGGAACACCAGUUGCGAAGGCGGCUCUCUGGACUGUAACUGACACUGAGGCACGAAAGCGUGGGGAGCAAACAGGAUUAGAUACCCUGGUAGUCCACGCCGUAAACGAUGAGUACUAGCUGUCGGAGGUUACCCCCUUCGGUGGCGCAGCUAACGCAUUAAGUACUCCGCCUGGGAAGUACGCUCGCAAGAGUGAAACUCAAAGGAAUUGACG
Molecule: ribosomal RNA, 876 nt
Filed under: uncultured bacterium
Lineage: Bacteria
Description: bacterial SSU rRNA
Rfam family: Bacterial small subunit ribosomal RNA
Source: RNAcentral